This 247-nucleotide ribosomal RNA is filed under the name uncultured bacterium. RNAcentral's name for it is "partial 16S ribosomal RNA". It matches the Rfam family "Bacterial small subunit ribosomal RNA", at positions 524 to 769 of the family's 1533-position model. The record is from RNAcentral.
UACGGAGGGUGCAAGCGUUGUUCGGAAUUAUUGGGCGUAAAGGGUGCGCAGGCGGCCAAGUGUGUGAGGCGUGAAAGCCUGGAGCUUAACUCCAGAAUUGCACCUCAAACUACAUGGCUAGAGCAUUGGAGAGGGUAGCGGAAUUCACGGUGUAGCAGUGAAAUGCGUAGAUAUGCGGAGGAACACCGAUGGCGAAGGCAAUCCCCUGGACCUGUACUGACGCUCAUGCACGAAAGCGUGGGGGAGC